GAUGAACGCUGGCGGCGUGCCUAAUACAUGCAAGUCGAGCGAACAGACGAGGAGCUUGCUCCUCUGACGUUAGCGGCGGACGGGUGAGUAACACGUGGAUAACCUACCUAUAAGACUGGGAUAACUUCGGGAAACCGGAGCUAAUACCGGAUAAUAUAUUGAACCGCAUGGUUCAAUAGUGAAAGACGGUUUUGCUGUCACUUAUAGAUGGAUCCGCGCCGCAUUAGCUAGUUGGUAAGGUAACGGCUUACCAAGGCAACGAUGCGUAGCCGACCGGAGAGGGUGGUCGCCGACAUUGGAGCUGAAACGCCGUCCAGGCUCCUGCGGGAGGCAGCAGUAGCGUAUCUUCCGCAGUGGGCGGAAGCCUGACACAGCAGCGCGGCGUGUGUGGUAGCGGUCUUCGGUGCGUGAUACUCUCUUAUUAGUUAUGAACAAAUGUGUAAGUAACUGUACAGGGCGUGACGGUACCGAGUCAGAAAGCCACGGCUAACUACGUG
RNAcentral lists this ribosomal RNA (497 nucleotides) under uncultured bacterium. RNAcentral's name for it is "partial 16S ribosomal RNA". It matches the Rfam family "Bacterial small subunit ribosomal RNA", at positions 28 to 507 of the family's 1533-position model. The record is from RNAcentral.